CGAGCCGGCCGGGCGGCCGCGUCAGGGCGCAAGCCCUGCCGAGGAAGGUCCGGGCUCCACAGGGCAGGGUGGUCGGUAACGCCGACCCGGGGUGACCCGCGGGAAAGUGCCACAGAAAGCAGACCGCCUCGCUCCGCAAGGAGCGGGGUAAGGGUGAAAGGGUGGUGUAAGAGACCACCAGCGCUCACGGUGACGUGAGCGGCUAGGUAAACCCCACCCGGAGCAAGGUCAAGAAGGGACGUUCUUCGGAGCGUCCCGCGCGCGGCGCUUGAGGGUGGCCCGCCCGAGCCGCGCGGGUAGACCGCUAGAGGCCGUCGGCAACGGCGGUCCGAGAUGGAUGGCCGCCGGUCAGCGCGAGCUGACUACAGAACCCGGCCUAUAGGCCGACUCGUCUG
Non-coding RNA from Thermobispora bispora DSM 43833, 395 nucleotides. It matches the Rfam family "Bacterial RNase P class A". Rfam says of the family: Ribonuclease P (RNase P) is a ubiquitous endoribonuclease, found in archaea, bacteria and eukarya as well as chloroplasts and mitochondria. Its best characterised activity is the generation of mature 5'-ends of tRNAs by cleaving the 5'-leader elements of precursor-tRNAs. NCBI's taxonomy places the organism in Bacteria, Bacillati, Actinomycetota, Actinomycetes, Streptosporangiales, Streptosporangiaceae. The record is from Rfam.